GAUGAACGCUGGCGGCGUGCCUAAUACAUGCAAGUCGAGCGAACAGAUAAGGAGCUUGCUCCUUUGACGUUAGCGGCGGACGGGUGAGUAACACGUGGGUAACCUACCUAUAAGACUGGGAUAACUUCGGGAAACCGGAGCUAAUACCGGAUAACAUUUGGAACCGCAUGGUUCUAAAGUGAAAGAUGGUUUUGCUAUCACUUAUAGAUGGACCCGCGCCGUAUUAGCUAGUUGGUAAGGUAACGGCUUACCAAGGCAACGAUACGUAGCCGACCUGAGAGGGGGAUCGGCCACACUGGAACUGAGACACGGUCCAGACUCCUACGGGAGGCAGCAGUAGGGAAUCUUCCGCAAUGGGCGAAAGCCUGACGGAGCAACGCCGCGUGAGUGAUGAAGGGUUUCGGCUCGUAAAACUCUGUUAUUAGGGAAGAACAAACGUGUAAGUAACUGUGCACGUCUUGACGGUACCUAAUCAGAAAGCCACGGCUAACUACGUG
Molecule: ribosomal RNA, 497 nt
Filed under: uncultured bacterium
Lineage: Bacteria
Description: partial 16S ribosomal RNA
Rfam family: Bacterial small subunit ribosomal RNA
Source: RNAcentral